GUGUGCGGCUGUGCCGUGUGUUUGCUGUGUGUGGCUGUGCCGUGUGGCUGUGCCGUGUGGCUGUGCCGUGUGUGGCUGUGCCGUGUGUGGCUGUGCCGUGUGUGGCUGUGCCGUGUGGCUGUGCCGUGUGUGGCUGUGCCGUGUGGCUGUGCCGUGUGUGGCUGUGCCGUGUGGCUGUGCUCUGUGGCUGUGCUGUGUGUGGCUGUGCCGUGUGUGGCUGUGCUCUGUGGCUGUGCCGUGUGGCUGUGCCGUGUGGCUGUGCUCUGUGGCUGUGCCGUGUGUGGCUGUGCCGUGUGGCUGUGCCCUGCUGUGUCACUGUCAUGCUGUCCCAGUUCAGGGCUGCUGGGGGAUUCUGUGUGGGUGUGCCAUGUCACACUGUCACUCUGGGCCGUGCCGGUUCGCAGGUGCUGGGGACGUUGUGUCACUGCUGGUUCAUGUCAUGGGGCCGUGCUGUGCCAUGUCACGCUGUCACACUGUGCCGUGUGAUGCCAGCUCUCAUGCUGGGCCAGGCCGUGUCACGCCGUGUGCUGGCGAGGUGCUGGGUGACACCGCAGUGGCAGCAGCAGUGGCAGCGGUGGUGGCAGCGUCACUCACGCAAUGUACUGCUCCGUCUUGUUGAACUUCUUGGCCAGGUACUUGGCCGAGGCCUUGCUGGGGAUCUUCACCAUGGAGAGCUCUUUGCCGUAGCGCACCAUGGCGCAGGGCGUGCGGCACGCGCAGUACUCGCUGUCCUUCGUCACCAGGAAGUCUGGGGGGGCGUGGGUGGGACGGGGACCCCCGGGACCCCUGCCCACGGGGGGAGGCAGGAUGCUCCGGGGGCAGAGCUGGCUGGUGGUGGGUGCCACCCGGGACAGGUGUGCCACGCGUGCCGUGGGUGGCACAGGGAGGGGGCCCCGCCCUGCGCAUCUGGGGACAGCGGUGACCCCCACCCCAGCCAGGGCACGGGGACACCGGGGCCACACUCACAGUGCCGGGGACAUGGGGCCACACUCACAGUGCCAGGGACACCGGGGACACCGGGGCCACACUCACAGGGCCGGGGACAUGGGGACACCGGGGUCACACU
Molecule: long non-coding RNA, 1066 nt
Filed under: Cyanistes caeruleus (blue tit)
Lineage: Eukaryota; Metazoa; Chordata; Aves; Passeriformes; Paridae
Description: lncRNA (ENSCCEG00000001298.1)
Source: RNAcentral